GAUGAACGCUGGCGGCGUGCUUAACACAUGCAAGUCGAACGGAAAGGCCCAAGCUUGCUUGGGUACUCGAGUGGCGAACGGGUGAGUAACACGUGGGUGAUCUGCCCUGCACUUCGGGAUAAGCCUGGGAAACUGGGUCUAAUACCGGAUAGGACCACAUUUUGGAUGGUGUGGUGGAAAGUUUUUCGGUGUGGGAUGAGCUCGCGGCCUAUCAGCUUGUUGGUGGGGUAAUGGCCUACCAAGGCGUCGACGGGUAGCCGGCCUGAGAGGGUGUACGGCCACAGUGGGACUGAGAUACGGCCCAGACUCCGACGGGAGGCAGCAGUGGGGAAUAUUGCACAAUGGGCGCAAGCCUGAUGCAGCGACGCCGCGUGGGGGAUGACGGCCUUCGGGUUGUAAACUCCUUUCGCUAGGGACGAAGCGUUUUUGUGACGGUACCUGGAGAAGAAGCACCGGCUAACUACGUG
RNAcentral lists this ribosomal RNA (467 nucleotides) under uncultured bacterium. RNAcentral's name for it is "partial 16S ribosomal RNA". It matches the Rfam family "Bacterial small subunit ribosomal RNA", at positions 28 to 507 of the family's 1533-position model. The record is from RNAcentral.